This 149-nucleotide ribosomal RNA is filed under the name uncultured bacterium. RNAcentral describes it as "partial 16S ribosomal RNA". It matches the Rfam family "Bacterial small subunit ribosomal RNA", at positions 329 to 497 of the family's 1533-position model. The record is from RNAcentral.
UACUCUACUCCUACGGGAGGCAGCAGUGGGGAAUCUUAGACAAUGGGGGCAACCCUGAUCUAGCCAUGCCGCGUGAGUGAUGAAGGCCUUAGGGUUGUAAAGCUCUCUCAGCUGGGAAGAUAAUGACGUACCAGCAGAGAGUCGUCGCA